AUGAAACUGAUCGGUUGGAACUGCCGGGGCCUCGGGAACGGCCUGGCAGUUCGUAGCCUCCUUGAGCUAGGGAGGACGGAGGAGCCUGACGUGUUGUUUUUGGCGGAGACGAAAUUAACAGAGAAGGAUCUUGAAAAGUUUCGAUGGUCGUUGGGGUUAGCAAAUAUGGUGGUUUGGAAUGCUGUGGGUCGAAGUAGAGGUGUAGCGCUUUUUUGGAGGAGA
Molecule: ribosomal RNA, 222 nt
Filed under: Triticum aestivum (bread wheat)
Lineage: Eukaryota; Viridiplantae; Streptophyta; Magnoliopsida; Poales; Poaceae
Description: partial small subunit ribosomal RNA
Source: RNAcentral